CUGGCUCAGAUUGAACGCUGGCGGCGUGCUUAACACAUGCAAGUCGCGCGUGAAAGGACUUCGGUCCGAGUAAAGCGGCGCACGGGUGAGUAACGCGUGGAUGAUCUACCCAUGAGUUAGGAAUAACGGCUGGAAACGGUCGCUAAUACCAAAUACGCUCCGAUUUCAACUUCGGGGGAAAGGUGGCCUCUGCUUGCAAGCUACUGCUCAUGGAUGAGUCCGCGUCCCAUUAGCUAGUUGGUGGGGUAACGGCCCACCAAGGCGACGAUGGGUAGCCGGUCUGAGAGGAUGACCGGCCACACUGGGACUGGAACACGGCCCAGACUCCUACGGGAGGCAGCAGUGGGGAAUAUUGCGCAAUGGGCGAAAGCCUGACGCAGCGACGCCGCGUGAGGGAUGAAGGUCCUCGGAUCGUAAACCUCUGUCAGGAGGGAAGAACCGCCACGGUGCUAAUCAGCCGUGGUCUGACGGUACCUCCAAAGGAAGCACCGGCUAACUCCGUGCCAGCCGCCGC
Molecule: ribosomal RNA, 514 nt
Filed under: uncultured bacterium
Lineage: Bacteria
Description: bacterial SSU rRNA
Rfam family: Bacterial small subunit ribosomal RNA
Source: RNAcentral